GCCAGACUCCUACGGGAGGCAGCAGUGGGGAAUAUUGCACAAUGGGGGAAACCCUGAUGCAGCGACGCCGCGUGAGUGAGGAAGUAUUUCGGUAUGUAAAGCUCUAUCAGCAGGGAAGAAAAUGACGGUACCUGACUAAGAAGCCCCGGCUAACUACGUGCCAGCAGCCGCGGUAAUACGUAGGGGGCAAGCGUUAUCCGGAUUUACUGGGUGUAAAGGGAGCGUAGACGGAUAAGCAAGUCUGAUGUGAAAAUCCGGGGCCCAACCCCGGAAUUGCAUUGGAAACUGCAUAUCUAGAGUGUCGGAGAGGCAAGUGGAAUUCCUGGUGUAGCGGUGAAAUGCGUAGAUAUCAGGAGGAACACCGGUGGCGAAGGCGGCCUGCUGGACUGCAACUGACGUUGAGGCCCGAAAGCGUGGGGAGCAAACAGGAUUAGAUACCCCUGUAAA
Molecule: ribosomal RNA, 447 nt
Filed under: uncultured bacterium
Lineage: Bacteria
Description: bacterial SSU rRNA
Rfam family: Bacterial small subunit ribosomal RNA
Source: RNAcentral